Molecule: non-coding RNA, 106 nt
Organism: Coniochaeta sp. 2T2.1
Lineage: Eukaryota; Fungi; Ascomycota; Sordariomycetes; Coniochaetales; Coniochaetaceae
Source: the annotation of a GenBank genome assembly
GCGCCGGUGGUUUAGUGGUAAAAUCCAUCGUUGCCAUCACAACUCGAGUCUCCUGAACUUAGUAUGUAACUUCGAUGGGCCCCGCGUUCGAUUCGCGGCUGGCGCA